This 253-nucleotide ribosomal RNA is filed under the name uncultured bacterium. RNAcentral describes it as "partial 16S ribosomal RNA". It matches the Rfam family "Bacterial small subunit ribosomal RNA", at positions 524 to 776 of the family's 1533-position model. The record is from RNAcentral.
UACGAAGGGUGCUAGCGUUGUUCGGAAUCACUGGGCGUAAAGCGCACGUAGGCGGAUGUGUCAGUCAGGGGUGAAAUCCCGGAGCUCAACUUCGGAACUGCCUUUGAUACAGCACGUCUUGAGUCCGGAAGAGGUGGGUGGAAUUCCUAGUGUAGAGGUGAAAUUCGUAGAUAUUAGGAAGAACACCGGUGGCGAAGGCGGCCAUCUGGCUCGGUACUGACGCUCAGGCGCGAAAGCGUGGGGAGCAAACAGG